RNAcentral lists this unclassified non-coding RNA (420 nucleotides) under Hevea brasiliensis (rubber tree). Lineage: Eukaryota; Viridiplantae; Streptophyta; Magnoliopsida; Malpighiales; Euphorbiaceae. The record is from RNAcentral.
GAAUGAUCUCGGGCAUCAAUCUAAAGAGAGUUUGGUAGCUUUCCCUUUACACGGGCAAUUGCCUUAUCUUAUUAAAGGAAAAGGAAGAACUCGCUUUCGCUGGGCACCAAGGCUUCUUAAACUCCUAACUUCCCUUGAGCCUGGUUAAGAAAGGAAAGCCGGUCCAAUCCUAGCUUCUGAAAGAAGAGAAAAGAUCAUCAGACCUGCAACCCCAUAACUGACAGCGAAGACUUCGAAUGAUAGAUCGACGGAAGUGACCCAUAACUAAUGGUGUACUUCGCUCGUCAAGCAAGAAAUGAAAAUCAGCCCUUGAUGCGUGAGGGCUGUUAAAAAGCAGCAAAGAAAAAGGCAUUGCACCUCACCUCACUAAGAGGCUACCGAAAUAGUCCUACUUCUAGCAUUGACUCCAUCGACAACAAA